This is a non-coding RNA of Microcebus murinus (gray mouse lemur), 258 nucleotides long. The record is from RefSeq and is a predicted model, not a curated record. Lineage: Eukaryota; Metazoa; Chordata; Mammalia; Primates; Cheirogaleidae.
AAGAAAUCCUCCCACUUCGGCCUUCCAAAGUACUAGGAUUACAGUCACUACCUUACAGCUCUAUUUGGUUGAGGACAUGUGGCAAACCUAUAUCAACAAGGUGUUAGAUUACAAUUCAGGAUUUCUUAUAUAUAAGAUCAAAUCAUCUAUGAAGAGAGUUGUACUUCUUCCUUACACACUAUUAGUGGGACUGCAAACUAGUUCAACCUGUAUGAAAGCAGGAUGGAGAUACCUCAAGGAACUAAGGUAGACCUACCA